RNAcentral lists this ribosomal RNA (497 nucleotides) under uncultured bacterium. RNAcentral describes it as "partial 16S ribosomal RNA". It matches the Rfam family "Bacterial small subunit ribosomal RNA", at positions 28 to 507 of the family's 1533-position model. The record is from RNAcentral.
GAUGAACGCUGGCGGCGUGCCUAAUACAUGCAAGUCGAGCGAACAGACGAGGAGCUUGCUCCUCUCACGUUAGCGGCGGGCGUGUGAGUCACACGUGGAUAACCUACCUAUCUGACUGGGAUAACUUCGGGAAACCGGAGCUAAUACCGGAUAAUAUAUUGAACCGCAUUGUUCAAUAGUGAAAGACGGUUUUGCUGUCACUUAUAGAUGGAUCCGCGCCGCAUUAGCUAGUUGGUAAGGUAACGGCCUACCACGGCGACGAUGCGUAGCCGACCUGAGAGGGGGAUCGGCCACACUGGAACUGAGACGCGGUCCAGACUCCUACGGGAGGCAGCAGUAGGGAAUCUUACGCAAUGGGCGAAAGCCUGACGGAGCAACGCCACGUGAGUGAUGAAGGUCUUCGGAGCGUAAAACUCUGUUAUGAGGGAAGAACAGAUGUGUAAGUAAAUAUGGACGUAUUGACGGUACCUAAUCAGAAAGCCACGGCUAACUACGUG